GAUGAACGCUAGCGGGAGGCCUAACACAUGCAAGCCGAGCGGUAGAGUUUCUUCGGAAACUUGAGAGCGGCGUACGGGUGCGGAACACGUGUGCAACCUGCCUUUAUCAGGGGGAUAGCCUUUCGAAAGGAAGAUUAAUACCCCAUAAUAUUUAGAAUGGCAUCAUUUUAAAUUGAAAACUCCGGUGGAUAGAGAUGGGCACGCGCAAGAUUAGAUAGUUGGUGAGGUAACGGCUCACCAAGUCUGCGAUCUUUAGGGGGCCUGAGAGGGUGAUCCCCCACACUGGUACUGAGACACGGACCAGACUCCUACGGGAGGCAGCAGUGAGGAAUAUUGGACAAUGGGUGCGAGCCUGAUCCAGCCAUCCCGCGUGAAGGACGACGGCCCUAUGGGUUGUAAACUUCUUUUGUAUAGGGAUAAACCUACCCUCGUGAGGGUAGCUGAAGGUACUAUACG
This 456-nucleotide ribosomal RNA is filed under the name Chryseobacterium sp. AE107. RNAcentral describes it as "bacterial SSU rRNA". It matches the Rfam family "Bacterial small subunit ribosomal RNA", at positions 28 to 484 of the family's 1533-position model. RNAcentral also lists the same sequence under 4 other names. Lineage: Bacteria; Pseudomonadati; Bacteroidota; Flavobacteriia; Flavobacteriales; Weeksellaceae. The record is from RNAcentral.